UUCUCUUAGAUCUGGAAGGCUCGGAUCCCUCCUAAAGUGAAAAUUUUCUUAUGGCAAGCCUUCAGGGGCCGGCUGCCUUCGGCUGACCAAAUUCGUAAGAGAAAUGGUCCCGGGUCUCAAUUAUGUGCCUUGUGUGGUGACUUAGAGGAUACGACUCAUAUCUUCUUCCAUUGUGUGCUGGCCAAACUUAUUUGGAGUUGCGUCAGAGAUUGGCUUCAUGUAGCCUGGGACCCUGUUUCUUUCUCAGAGCUCCAGACCCUUGCUAGUAAUUUGUCGGGCGUAACCAGACGUAUCUUUUGGGUGGGCCUGGGAGCAAUUUGUUGGUCUCUCUGGACGACUAGGAACAAAUUUACUAUUGAGCAUGUGGUUCCGGCUAAACCUGUUGAUUGCUUAUUUAAGUCGUGUGCUCUCUUGCAACAGUGGAAAUCAUUGACUAAGGUGGACGACCAAGUUGCGCUGUCUGAGCUGAUCUCCAAAGUUCGGGCCUCGACGUCUAAUUUUUGCAGACAAGAGCAGGAUGCUUAG
Molecule: ribosomal RNA, 525 nt
Filed under: Triticum aestivum (bread wheat)
Lineage: Eukaryota; Viridiplantae; Streptophyta; Magnoliopsida; Poales; Poaceae
Description: partial small subunit ribosomal RNA
Source: RNAcentral